UAAGUUACUUGGAUGAGGUCAAUGAACGACCAAGAGGUCCAUGGUCUAGGUUGGUGACCUCCAUUGCAUUUAGGAGGGGCUUGUAUCUAAGGUGUUCUCAAGUAGAACAACCUACAUUAUAAUUUGUUGUUGUGGAGGCCUGCGUGCGCGCGGCCCGCUU
This is a small nuclear RNA of Medicago truncatula (barrel medic), 160 nucleotides long. It matches the Rfam family "U1 spliceosomal RNA". Rfam says of the family: U1 is a small nuclear RNA (snRNA) component of the spliceosome (involved in pre-mRNA splicing). Its 5' end forms complementary base pairs with the 5' splice junction, thus defining the 5' donor site of an intron. Lineage: Eukaryota; Viridiplantae; Streptophyta; Magnoliopsida; Fabales; Fabaceae. The record is from Rfam.